AGAUUGAACGCUAGCGGGAUGCUUUACACAUGCAAGUCGAACGGCAGCGCGGACUUCGGUCUGGCGGCGAGUGGCGAACGGGUGAGUAAUAUAUCGGAACGUGCCCAGUAGCGGGGGAUAACUACGCGAAAGCGUGGCUAAUACCGCAUACGCCCUACGGGGGAAAGGGGGGGAUCGCAAGACCUCUCACUAUUGGAGCGGCCGAUAUCAGAUUAGCUAGUUGGUGAGGUAAAGGCUCACCAGGGCGACGAUCUGUAGCUGGUUUGAGAGGACGACCAGCCACACUGGGACUGAGACACGGCCCAGACUCCUACGGGAGGCAGCAGUGGGGAAUUUGGACAAUGGGGGAAACCCUGAUCCAGCCAUCCCGCGUGUGCGAUGAAGGCCUUCGGUUGUAAAGCUACUUUGUCGAGGAAGGAAACGGCGUCGACCGUAA
RNAcentral lists this ribosomal RNA (436 nucleotides) under uncultured soil bacterium. RNAcentral describes it as "bacterial SSU rRNA". It matches the Rfam family "Bacterial small subunit ribosomal RNA", at positions 26 to 469 of the family's 1533-position model. The record is from RNAcentral.